This 456-nucleotide ribosomal RNA is filed under the name uncultured bacterium. RNAcentral describes it as "bacterial SSU rRNA". It matches the Rfam family "Bacterial small subunit ribosomal RNA", at positions 340 to 784 of the family's 1533-position model. The record is from RNAcentral.
UACGGAAGGCAGCAGGUGGGGAAUAUUGCACAAUGGGCGAAAGCCUGAUGCAGCUAUGCCGCGUGUAUGAAGAAGGCCUUAGGGUUGUAAAGUACUUUCAUCGGGGAGGAAAAAACAAAACUAAUAAUUUUAUUUCUUGACGUUACCCGAAAAAGAAGCACCGGCUAACUCCGUGCCAGCAGCCGCGGUAAUACGGAGGGUGCUAGCGUUAAUCAGAAUUACUGGGCGUAAAGAGCACGUAGGUGGUUUUUUUAAGUCAGAUGUGAAAUCCCUGGGCUUAACCUAGGAACUGCAUUUUGAAACUGAAAUACUAGAGUAUCGUAGAGGGAGGUAGAAUUCUAGGUGUAGCGGUGAAAUGCGUAGAUAUCUGGAGGAAUACCUGUGGCGAAAGCGGCCUCCUAAACCGAAUACUGACACUGAGGUGCGAAAGCGUGGGGAGCAAACAGGGAUUAGAUA